This 357-nucleotide long non-coding RNA is filed under the name Carica papaya (papaya). Its description in RNAcentral is "long non-coding RNA (CPAP_LNC004366)". The record is from RNAcentral. Lineage: Eukaryota; Viridiplantae; Streptophyta; Magnoliopsida; Brassicales; Caricaceae.
GUGCAAUAAGAGAGAAAGAAAGAGAUAGGGGACAUGAUAAAAAAAGAAGAGGAAAAACAAGGAGAAUAAGAAAAAAGAGGAGUAGAAGCUGGUGUUACACGUAAUGGUGCGCAGGAGAAUAAAACGAUCUGUGCGACUGCUUGACGCGUGUUUUUGCUGUUUCGCGACUCCUUCCAGCAUGAUUCUACAAGAUCUGUGUCGGAUUUGAGGGCGUGAAUCGUUCUAUGGUAAAUUUCGGCCAAUCCGUAGCGGUAAGAAGCGGUGUGUGGCGGUUCAGUAGCUGCACGUAUGGAGCGCGCAGACUUUCAGUGUUGCACGCAAUAAGUUUUAAAACCUGUUCGGUAUGUGAGUUUAAAA